This 1248-nucleotide long non-coding RNA is filed under the name Lactuca sativa (garden lettuce). RNAcentral describes it as "long non-coding RNA (LSAT_LNC005189)". The record is from RNAcentral. Lineage: Eukaryota; Viridiplantae; Streptophyta; Magnoliopsida; Asterales; Asteraceae.
AUCACUCAAGGUGAGUUCAUACCCCUACAUUUUUGUGACAACCGUCAAUUUUCGGUCAAGUCAAAGUCAACUAAAGUCAACAAGUCAAACCAGUCAACUCAAUUUGCCGUGAGUACUAAAGUUUACGUUAUGUAACUUCUAAACAACUCUCUAUUCUAAUGAGAGAUCAUAAAUCGAAAAGUGCGUUCACCUAGAUCUCCUUAACCCAAAACGGUGGCGUGGAAAGCCAAACCUAUACAACAAUGUUACAUACUCAUCGGGAGUAUGCAAGAUCCCUAAUCAAGGCUUAACGGGGUUUAAGGACCUUGCAGUGCGUAGCUGGACACUCAAAAAGGUCGCCAGUGAAAUCUCUCCCACAUAUCUUUAAGUAUGUGAAACCUCUCCCACAUAUCUUUAAGUAUGUGAAACCUCUCCCACAUAUCUCUAAGUAUGUGAAACCUCUCCCACAUAUCUCUAAGUAUGUGAAACCUCUCCCACAUAUAUCUAAGUAUGUGAAACCUCUCCCAAAUCUCUCUAAGCAUGUCAAAUCUCUCCCAAAUCUCCCUAAGUAUGUGAAAUCUCUCCCAAAUCUCUCUCCGUAUGUGAAAUCUCUCCAAGUAUGUCAAAUCUCUCCCAAAUCUCCCUAAGUAUGUGAAAUCUCUCCCAAAUCUCUCUCCGUAUGUGAAAUCUCUCCCAGAUCUCUCUCUGUAUGUGAAAUCUCUCCAAGUAUGUCAAAUCUCUCCCAAAUCUCCCUAAGUAUGUGAAAUCUCUCCCAAAUCUCUCUCUGUAUGUGAAAUCUCUCCAAGUAUGUCAAAUCUCUCCCAAAUCUCCCUAAGUAUGUGAAAUCUCUCCCAAAUCUCUCUCCGUAUGUGAAAUCUCUCCAAGUAUGUCAAAUCUCUCCCAAAUCUCCCUAAGUAUGUGAAAUCUCUCCCAAAUCUCUCUCUGUAUGUGAAAUCUCUCCAAGUAUGUCAAAUCUCUCCCAAAUCUCUCUAAGUAUGUGAAAUCUCUCCCAAAUCUCUCUAAGUAUGUGAAAUCUCUCUCACGUAUCUCUUUGUAUGUGAAAUCUCUCCAAGUACGUCAAAUCUCUCCCAAAUCUCUCUGAGAACGAGGAAUCUCUCUCAAAUCUCUCUCGAAAUCUCUCCCCGACUUUCUAUAAUCACUCGGGGCAUCCCGACCCUCGAAUUUGGCGAAAAAUAGCCCAAGAAUGGAAGUCUACGCGAAAAACGGACUUAAGGAAACGAACCCUCCGAACCGAAAGUACUAUUCAUG